GUUGUAGUGGUAAAAUGAUGGAAUCAACAUAGGGAAAGGGGUUUAUUUUGGCUUGUGGUUCCAGAGAGACAGAGUCCAUCAGAGUGGGGAAGACAUGGCAACAGGAACAUGAAGCUCACUCACCGCAAUGCAUCAGAAGUUAGACAGCAGAGAGAGAACAGGAAGCCAGCUCAGACUCGGAAGUCUUAAAGCCCACCCCCAGUGACUCACUUCCUCCAGCAAGGGACUAGCUUCUAAAGGGUUUCAGGACCUUUCCCCAAAGCACCACCAGCUGGGGAAGAACUCAGCCGGGAGCCUCUGGGAAGACUUCAUAUUCAAACCUCAGCCUCUCCAAUCACCAGCUUCUCAAAGAGAGGACGUUGAGACGCAACGAUAACACAGGCAUGCACAAAGGCUGUAGGGAACUUCUCUACCAGUUGAGCUCUGCUCUGCUUGCUGUGUUUGGUGAUCUUGAUAUUUAACUACAGUGAUGAUAAGCGGGAAACCUUUUCAUAUUAUGUUAAAUGCAGUUUUGUAAGGAGCAAAACAAACUCUGGAUGUUCAAUGAUAAAGUGAUUUCUGAAAAAAUGCUGAUUCAUCCACGAAAUGAAGUAAUAGGCUGCUAAUGAUAUUACAUUGCCAAAGAAAACCUAUCAAAUAAAAGCCAUAAAGACAAGAA
This 658-nucleotide long non-coding RNA is filed under the name Mus spretus (western wild mouse). RNAcentral describes it as "cDNA sequence BC049739 (ENSMSPG00010023614.1)". Lineage: Eukaryota; Metazoa; Chordata; Mammalia; Rodentia; Muridae. The record is from RNAcentral.